RNAcentral lists this ribosomal RNA (942 nucleotides) under uncultured bacterium. RNAcentral describes it as "bacterial SSU rRNA". It matches the Rfam family "Bacterial small subunit ribosomal RNA", at positions 69 to 1007 of the family's 1533-position model. The record is from RNAcentral.
GCAGCGCGGGGCAACCUGGCGGCGAGUGGCGAACGGGUGAGUAAUAUAUCGGAACGUGCCCUGGAGUGGGGGAUAACGCAGCGAAAGUUGCGCUAAUACCGCAUACGAUCUAAGGAUGAAAGCGGGGGAUUCGCAAGAACCUCGUGCUCCUGGAGCGGCCGAUAUCUGAUUAGCUAGUUGGUGGGGUAAAGGCCUACCAAGGCAUCGAUCAGUAGCUGGUCUGAGAGGACGACCAGCCACACUGGAACUGAGACACGGUCCAGACUCCUACGGGAGGCAGCAGUGGGGAAUUUUGGACAAUGGGCGAAAGCCUGAUCCAGCAAUGCCGCGUGAGUGAAGAAGGCCUUCGGGUUGUAAAGCUCUUUUGUCAGGGAAGAAACGGUGAAGGCUAAUAUCCUUUGCUAAUGACGGUACCUGAAGAAUAAGCACCGGCUAACUACGUGCCAGCAGCCGCGGUAAUACGUAGGGUGCAAGCGUUAAUCGGAAUUACUGGGCGUAAAGCGUGCGCAGGCGGUUUUGUAAGUCUGUCGUGAAAUCCCCGGGCUCAACCUGGGAAUUGCGAUGGAGACUGCAAGGCUAGAAUCUGGCAGAGGGGGGUAGAAUUCCACGUGUAGCAGUGAAAUGCGUAGAGAUGUGGAGGAACACCGAUGGCGAAGGCAGCCCCCUGGGUCAAGAUUGACGCUCAUGCACGAAAGCGUGGGGAGCAAACAGGAUUAGAUACCUUGGUAGUCCACGCCCUAAACGAUGUCUACUAGUUGUCGGGUUUUAAUUAACUUGGUAACGCAGCUAACGCGUGAAGUAGACCGCCUGGGGAGUACGGUCGCAAGAUUAAAACUCAAAGGAAUUGACGGGGACCCGCACAAGCGGUGGAUGAUGUGGAUUAAUUCGAUGCAACGCGAAAAACCUUACCUACCCUUGACAUGUACGGAAGCCACGANAGNU